RNAcentral lists this non-coding RNA (29 nucleotides) under Homo sapiens (human). Lineage: Eukaryota; Metazoa; Chordata; Mammalia; Primates; Hominidae. The record is from RNAcentral.
AUGCUCAGGGCUGAGUCUUAAAGAAGGGU